Molecule: long non-coding RNA, 245 nt
Filed under: Sus scrofa (pig)
Lineage: Eukaryota; Metazoa; Chordata; Mammalia; Artiodactyla; Suidae
Description: lncRNA (ENSSSCG00015008982.1, ENSSSCG00030049695.1, ENSSSCG00055029041.1)
Source: RNAcentral
CAGCCUCCAGUAACUCUGGAACACAGACGUGACUGUUGACACCUGAUUUCCUUUUGGCAAGUGACCAGAUAGAAUCAGCAUUAACGUGCAGAAAAUGCCAAACGCAGAGGAAAUGACAAAUGUGCCAGUGGUGCGUGUCACCUUCCUGCAAGGCAACCCGUUUGCAGCUCUAGCCAGAGGGAAAAUUACUGGACAACAAAAUGAAAAGGAGGCAUAAGUCAGCCCAGAUCUCUGAACCCUAGGAA